UGCCAGCCGCCGCGGUAAUACGGAGGGAGCUAGCGUUGUUCGGAAUUAUUGGGCGUAAAGCGCGUGUAGGCGAUUCGUUAAGUCUGAUGUGAAAGCCCGGGGCUCAACCCCGGAAGUGCAUUGGAAACUGGCGAACUUGAGUACGGGAGAGGAGAGAGGAAUUCCUGGUGUAGAGGUGAAAUUCGUAGAUAUCAGGAGGAACACCUAUGGCGAAAGCAGCUCUCUGGCCCGAUACUGACGCUGAGGCCCGAAAGCGUGGGGAGCGAACAGGAUUAGAUA
Molecule: ribosomal RNA, 279 nt
Filed under: uncultured bacterium
Lineage: Bacteria
Description: partial 16S ribosomal RNA
Rfam family: Bacterial small subunit ribosomal RNA
Source: RNAcentral